Molecule: ribosomal RNA, 230 nt
Filed under: uncultured bacterium
Lineage: Bacteria
Description: partial 16S ribosomal RNA
Rfam family: Bacterial small subunit ribosomal RNA
Source: RNAcentral
UGAGGAACAUGACCUUCGGCGGGGGAUAGCCGGCCCAACGGCCGGGUAAUACCGCGUACGACCACAUGGGGACAUCCCUGAGUGGUGAAAGCAGCAAUGCGCCGAUGGAGUGCCUCGCGGCCUAUCAGCUAGUUAGUGAGGUAACGGCUCACCAAGGCGACGACGAGUAGCUGGUCUGAGAGGAUGGCCAGCCACAUUGGGACUGAGACACGGCCCAGAUCCGUACGGGG